This 72-nucleotide transfer RNA is filed under the name Mesocricetus auratus (golden hamster). The stretch from base 6 to 63 matches the Rfam family "tRNA", at positions 8 to 63 of the family's 71-position model. From Rfam's summary of the family: Transfer RNA (tRNA) molecules are approximately 80 nucleotides in length. Their secondary structure includes four short double-helical elements and three loops (D, anti-codon, and T loops). The record is from Rfam by way of RNAcentral. Lineage: Eukaryota; Metazoa; Chordata; Mammalia; Rodentia; Cricetidae.
GUGGCUAGCUCAAUCAAUAGAGCAUGAGACUCUUAAUCUCAGGGUCUUGGGUUCAUGUCCCAUGUUGUCACC